This 497-nucleotide ribosomal RNA is filed under the name uncultured bacterium. RNAcentral describes it as "partial 16S ribosomal RNA". It matches the Rfam family "Bacterial small subunit ribosomal RNA", at positions 28 to 507 of the family's 1533-position model. The record is from RNAcentral.
GAUGAACGCUGGCGGCGUGCCUAAUACAUGCAAGUCGAGCGAACAGAUGAGGAGCUUGCUCCUCUGACGUUAGCGGCGGACGGGUGAGUAACACGUGGAUAACCUACCUAUAAGACUGGGAUAACUUCGGGAAACCGGAGCUAAUACCGGAUAAUAUAUUUAACCGCAUGGUUCAAUAGUGAAAGACGGUUUUGCUGUCACGUAUAGAUGGAUCCGCGCCGCAUUAGCUAGUUGGUAAGGUAACGGCUUACCAAGGCAACGAUGCGUAGCCGACCUGAGAGGGUGAUCGGCCACACUGGAACUGAGACACGGUCCAGACUCCUACGGGAGGCAGCAGUAGGCAAUCUUCCGCAAUGGGCGAAAGCAUGACGGAGCAACGCCGCGUGAGUGAUGAAGGUCUUCGGAUCGUAAAACUCUGUUAUUAGGGAAGAACAAAUGUGUAAGUAAAUAUGCACGUAUUGACGGUACCUAAUCAGAAAGCCACGGCUAACUACGUG